UAUAGAUGGAUCCGCGCUGCAUUAGCUAGUUGGUAAGGUAACGGCUUACCAAGGCAACGAUGCAUAGCCGACCUGAGAGGGUGAUCGGCCACACUGGAACUGAGACACGGUCCAGACUCCUACGGGAGGCAGCAGUAGGGAAUCUUCCGCAAUGGGCGAAAGCCUGACGGAGCAACGCCGCGUGAGUGAUGAAGGUCUUCGGAUCGUAAAACUCUGUUAUUAGGGAAGAACAUAUGUGUAAGUAACUGUGCACAUCUUGACGGUACCUAAUCAGAAAGCCACGGCUAACUACGUGCCAGCAGCCGCGGUAAUACGUAGGUGGCAAGCGUUAUCCGGAAUUAUUGGGCGUAAAGCGCGCGUAGGCG
RNAcentral lists this ribosomal RNA (365 nucleotides) under Staphylococcus aureus. RNAcentral describes it as "bacterial SSU rRNA". It matches the Rfam family "Bacterial small subunit ribosomal RNA", at positions 220 to 577 of the family's 1533-position model. The record is from RNAcentral. Lineage: Bacteria; Bacillati; Bacillota; Bacilli; Caryophanales; Staphylococcaceae.